CACAGUGGGGCACCUUGUAUGGGAGACCGGAAAAAACUCAAUUAAGACUAAACUACUGAACCAAUUUUCAUGAAAUUUGCAGGAAAGGUAGCUUAUAGCAAGACAAACCUACAUCCAUGACCACCCAUUGCCACGUCCACUCAGAAAAAAAUUAUAUUAAAAAAUCUGAAAACAAGUUUUUUCUGCUGUAAAUGACUUACUUCCAAUCACUUUUUUACUAGCAAAAUCAAAUUCUUUUGAGUUUAUUAGAACAUUUUAUUGAUAAAUACCGUUUAAAUUUUACAAAAAUCAAAAAAAAAAAAUCUAAAAUUUUCAAAAAAGGAAAAAUGUCCAAAAACGCGGAACAUUCCAUCAAAUCAUUCUAUCUUUUUUUGGAGACAAGUGGAAAAAAGAUAAGAGAGGCUUCAAAUAACCAGUUUUACUGUAUUCCGAUUCCGAUAGUUAUACCUAAAUAAAGUCAAAAAAGUGGAUUAGUGAAAAAAA
Molecule: long non-coding RNA, 483 nt
Organism: Episyrphus balteatus (marmalade hoverfly)
Lineage: Eukaryota; Metazoa; Arthropoda; Insecta; Diptera; Syrphidae
Exons: 2
Source: RefSeq, a predicted model, not a curated record